GAGACAAGCAACUGCGAAAGCAUUUGCCUAAAAUACUUCCAUUAAUCAAGAACGAAAGUUAAGGGAGUGAAGACGAUCAGAUACCGUCGUAAUCUUAACCAUAAACUAUGCCGACUAGGUGUUGGAUGAUAGAGUAAAAAAUAAAAGAGACAUUCAUAUAUAUGAGUGUUUCUUUUAGAUAGCUUCCUUCAGUACCUUAUGAGAAAUCAAAGUCUUUGGGUUCUGGGGCGAGUAUUCGCGCAAGCGAGAAAGUUAAAAGAAUUGACGGAAGGGCACCACCAGGCGUGGAGCUUGCG
This 296-nucleotide ribosomal RNA is filed under the name Plasmodium malariae. Its description in RNAcentral is "partial 18S small subunit ribosomal RNA". It matches the Rfam family "Eukaryotic small subunit ribosomal RNA", at positions 932 to 1187 of the family's 1831-position model. The record is from RNAcentral. Lineage: Eukaryota; Apicomplexa; Aconoidasida; Haemosporida; Plasmodiidae.